GAAUAUUCCGCAAUGCGCGAAAGCGUGACGGAGCAAUGCCGCGUGCAGGAUGAAGCCUUUCGGGGUGUAAACUGCUGUCAGGGGACAGGAAGCUCUGACCAUCCCCAAAGGAAGGGCCGGCUAACUUCGUGCCAGCAGCCGCGGUAAUACGAAGGGCCCGAGCGUUAAUCGGAAUCACUGGGCUUAAAGCGUACGUAGGCGGGCGCGCAGGCAUCUUGUGAAAGCCCCCGGCUCAACCGGGGAACUGCGGGGUGAACCGCGCGCCUUGAGGCAGGUAGGGGCUGUCGGAACGCUAGGUGGAGUGGUGAAAUGCGUUGAUAUCUAGCGGAACGCCGAAGGAGAAAUCAGGCAGCUGGGCCUGUUCUGACGCUGAGGUACGAAAGCGUGGGGAGCGAACGGG
This 400-nucleotide ribosomal RNA is filed under the name uncultured bacterium. Its description in RNAcentral is "bacterial SSU rRNA". It matches the Rfam family "Bacterial small subunit ribosomal RNA", at positions 359 to 776 of the family's 1533-position model. The record is from RNAcentral.